UUUUAACCACCCCAUCGGUGGUGCUGACGCUUAUGGGUUGCAGAAAGAAAGAGAUGACCUACGAGAUGACAUCAGUUAGUUAGUUUUAUUUGGUCCUAAUCAUUGCAGCAGCAGCUUCAACCUAAACCUAAAAGCCCCUUCUUCUUUCUUUCUGCGACUGAAUCACUGAAUUGAAUCCAACUAGCGUCGAAGCUCAGCAAUUGGAUUGAACAUAAUUUACCUCCAGUGGUGAGGUUGCAAAUUGGAAGAAGAUGAAAAAGGGAGUUCAUCCGUGGAAGCAAUGGAUAUCCUACGUUACACAAACGGGUCUUUGGGAACUAUGAGCGGCUAUAAUCAGUUUGAAGGUUGAACUGCUGGACUUGUCUACUUUAAUUUUCGAAGGAAGAAAGUGUACAGAUCACAUUGGAAUUUUGUUCCAUCAUCAUUGUGUCUGAACUUGUGGAAAUGGCUGCCGAAGAUGAUAAAAAUCUUAUUGAAAUCUUGGAAAACCUGAAUCCAGUAGAUGUUGCUAAAUACAUGAAUUUUGUUAGUGCUCCACAAGCUGGUGCUAUAGCAACAUUUGCUGGCACAACUCGCGACACUUUUGAAGGGAAAACAGUCUUGGAGUUGAGAUAUGAAGCUUAUGUUCCAAUGGCAAUACGUUGUAUUAACUUGAUCUGUUCAUCUGCUAGAGCAUCCUGGAACCUACAUUCCAUUGCUGUUGCUCAUCGUAUAGGAACAGUGCCUGUGGGUGAAACAAGUGUCUUCAUAGCUGUCUCAUCUGUCCACAGGGCAGAUGCACUGGAGGCAUGUAGAUUUUUGAUAGAUGAGAUAAAAGCCAAAGUUCCUAUUUGGAAAAAAGAGGUCUAUUCAAAUGGGGAGGUUUGGAAGGAGAACAGUGAGUUCCUAGAGAGGAGGUCCGAACUUGGUAACAAUGAUGCAGGUUGCUGCGGGAAAAAGGUAGUAAUUAAAGAGCAGACCAAAAAGGCUUGCUGUGGGACUAAGGUUCGGGUUGAUGAUCAAGCUAAUGAGGCGUCACAUGAAAAAAAUAUAGGAGGAGAUGGAAGAUAAGGCUAUAGAUUCCAUCGCUGUUGCUGAAGGUCAGAGAAAAACUGAAGAUGCAUCAAGGAGCUAAAAUUGCACCUCAUAAGCUAUGAAAAUACUUUGGAGGCUACAAAUAGGAUCCACAAAUGUAAUAGGCUCUAAAUGGGAGGUUGAGCAAACAACCAUUACAUGAGAGUAAGGUAUGUGAAGAGCUUGAAACUUCCCACAAUCACACCACCAAUUAUUUAACUUAACAAAUGUAUGACACUGGAUGACGUCCAAGUUGAGGAGUGGAAAUCUCCCGAACAUCGAAGACUGAAUUAUGGCAAUCAUGACACAUGACAUAUUGUUGUUCAUUUUUUCUUAACAAAGCAUAAAUAUCCUCUGGAUAUUGGUAGCCAGCUCGUAACAUGCAUUCAAUCUUUGUCCCUCAUUCCAUGAACCAUUUUUUGUUCUUUCAAAAAAUAAUUUAACAAGAGCACAAAUUGGCAAUGAUCUUGCUCUCUUCAAAAAGAAGUUCAUAAAUUCGGCUAAAGUUUUUGUCAUGUGGCCAUAUCUUUUUUCCCAUUAUAAGCUUAGGUCCAUUUUUCCAAUGAUAUUUGGUCUAUCCAAGAAGUUGCUUGUUGAAAUUCGACUUUCAUAGUAGAUAUCUUUGCUUGAAGUGUAGGUUGUUUCAUUUCAUAACCUGUGACAAAUUCGAUAUUAGAAAAUAACAGUGUUUUAUUGCAUUAGAAAAUUGAAAAUAAUUAAUGUAGGUACCCAUGUUUAGUAGAUGUGUCUUCAAUUCUGCAUUUUUGAACUGUUUAUUGAAAUUAGAGGAAACAUGGCAAAUGUAAUAAAUGGAUGUGAGUCCAUUUCCUUCCCAAGCAACUUCUAGGGAUUGUAGUGCUGAAGGUAUGGUUGUGCCUCUAUUAGUGAUCAGACAUAUAUUUGGUUGAGGUGUCAUAGUUGGAAGAACAAGAUCAUAGUUUCCUUUGUUUCACGUUCAACAAUAGCAAAGGCUAAUGAAAAGAUGUUGCGGUUUCCAUCUUGACCAAUUGUUGUCGAUAAUGUACCAUUGUAUCUUCCCAUCAAAAAGUUCCAUCAACUUGCACUACUGGCUUGUAAUAGUUGAAUCCAUCAAUACAUGGCUUAAAAGACCAUAAAA
Molecule: RNA transcript, 2170 nt
Organism: Vigna unguiculata (cowpea)
Lineage: Eukaryota; Viridiplantae; Streptophyta; Magnoliopsida; Fabales; Fabaceae
Gene name: molybdopterin biosynthesis MoaE family protein
Source: RefSeq, a predicted model, not a curated record